This 465-nucleotide ribosomal RNA is filed under the name uncultured bacterium. Its description in RNAcentral is "partial 16S ribosomal RNA". It matches the Rfam family "Bacterial small subunit ribosomal RNA", at positions 28 to 507 of the family's 1533-position model. The record is from RNAcentral.
GACGAACGCUGGCGGCGUGCUUAACACAUGCAAGUCGAACGGAAAGGCCCUGCUUGCAGGGUACUCGAGUGGCGAACGGGUGAGUAACACGUGGGUGAUCUGCCCUGCACUUCGGGAUAAGCCUGGGAAACUGGGUCUAAUACCGGAUAGGAGCCAUUUUUAGUGUGAUGGUUGGAAAGUUUUUUCGGUGUAGGAUGAGCUCGCGGCCUAUCAGCUUGUUGGUGGGGUAAUGGCCUACCAAGGCGGCGACGGGUAGCCGGCCUGAGAGGGUGGACGGCCACAGUGGGACUGAGAUACGGCCCAGACUCCUACGGGAGGCAGCAGGGGGGAAUAUUGCACAAUGGGCGCAAGCCUGAUGCAGCGACGCCGCGUGGGGGAUGACGGCCUUCGGGUUGUAAACUCCGUUCGCUAGGGACGAAGCUUUUUGUGACGGUACCUAGAUAAGAAGCACCGGCUAACUACGUG